AUGCUUCUCCUUUCUGUAUGGAGCUGGGAGCGUCUGCCUGUUGGACGCCCGAAGAGCGUCAAGUUCAAUCCUUGGGAUGAAGAUGGCGAUUUACGGCGCCCCACAUGGGCUUACAAGUGGGAUGUGGUAUCCGAGAUGAUGAACGAUGUCAAUCUCAUGUACCAAAAUUACAUUCCCAAGUUGGACACGAUUACGCCUGAGCAGGUAACGAGGUCAUUACUUCAGUCAUUUCUCAUGCUUGCCUGA
This 246-nucleotide ribosomal RNA is filed under the name Triticum aestivum (bread wheat). Its description in RNAcentral is "partial small subunit ribosomal RNA". The record is from RNAcentral. Lineage: Eukaryota; Viridiplantae; Streptophyta; Magnoliopsida; Poales; Poaceae.